UCCCUGGUAGUUCAGAUGGUAAAAUGUCUGCUUGCAACGCAGAAGACCUGGGUUUGAUCCCUGGGUUGGGAG
This 72-nucleotide transfer RNA is filed under the name Bos taurus (domestic cattle). It matches the Rfam family "tRNA". From Rfam's summary of the family: Transfer RNA (tRNA) molecules are approximately 80 nucleotides in length. Their secondary structure includes four short double-helical elements and three loops (D, anti-codon, and T loops). Further hydrogen bonds mediate the characteristic L-shaped molecular structure. tRNAs have two regions of fundamental functional importance: the anti-codon, which is responsible for specific mRNA codon recognition, and the 3' end, to which the tRNAs corresponding amino acid is attached (by aminoacyl-tRNA synthetases). tRNAs cope with the degeneracy of the genetic code in two manners: having more than one tRNA (with a specific anti-codon) for a particular amino acid; and 'wobble' base-pairing, i.e. permitting non-standard base-pairing at the 3rd anti-codon position. RNAcentral also lists the same sequence under 2 other names. Lineage: Eukaryota; Metazoa; Chordata; Mammalia; Artiodactyla; Bovidae. The record is from Rfam by way of RNAcentral.